AGAGACCCCCCCGGCAGCCGUUAGGGGAGGAGCCUGCGACCGCCCGCGCGCGCCUCACGCCCUCCCCUUUGUGUCACCAUGGCGGCGGAGGCGGCGGUGGCGAGGACUGCGAACGAGGGCUCGAAAGCCGCCGGGGUCUGAGGAGGCUACCGCGACCAUGGUGGCCCCAUGCUCCAGGCACAGAAACAGUCAGAUCCCAUCCUGCCUUGGGGAGCUUCAUGGGCUGGCAGGGGACAGACUCUGAGGGCCCGCAGCACUGACAGCCUGGAUGGCCCAGGGGAGGGCUCAGUGCAGCCCGUACCCACUACUGGGGGGCCGGGUACAAAGGGGAAGCCUGGGAAGAGGCUCUCAGCUCCUCGAGGCCCUUUCCCCCGGCUGGCUGACUGUGCCCAUUUCCACUAUGAGAAUGUUGACUUUGGCCACAUUCAGCUCCUGCUGUCUCCAGAGCGUGAGGGCCCCAGCCUCUCUGGAGAAAAUGAGCUGGUCUUUGGGGUACAGGUGACCUGUCAGGGCCGCUCCUGGCCAGUCCUCCGGAGCUAUGACGAUUUCCGUUCUCUGGAUGCCCAUCUCCACCGGUGCAUAUUUGACCGGAGAUUUUCCUGCCUCCCAGAGCUCCCUCCACCUCCAGAGGGUACCAGGGCUGCCCAGAUGCUGGUACCGCUGCUGCUGCAGUACCUGGAGACCCUGUCAGGACUGGUGGACAGUAACCUCAACUGUGGACCUGUGCUCACUUGGAUGGAGCUGGACAACCAUGGCCGGCGCCUGCUCCUCAGUGAGGAAGCCUCCCUCAAUAUCCCUGCUGUGGCUGCUGCCCACGUGGUCAAGCGGUACACUGCCCAGGCGCCAGAUGAGCUGUCCUUUGAGGUGGGAGACAUUGUCUCAGUGAUCGACAUGCCACCUACAGAGGAUCGGAGCUGGUGGCGGGGCAAACGGGGCUUCCAGGUUGGUUUCUUCCCCAGUGAGUGUGUGGAACUCUUCACGGAGAGGCCAGGGCCUGGCCUAAAGGCAGAUGCUGACAGUCCCCUGUGUGGCAUCCCAGCUCCCCAGGGCAUCUCUUCUCUGACCUCAGCUGUGCCCCGGCCACGUGGGAAGCUGGCAGGACUCCUCCGCACCUUCAUGCGCUCUCGUCCUUCUCGCCAGCGGCUGCGCCAACGGGGAAUCCUGCGGCAGAGGGUGUUUGGUUGUGAUCUUGGAGAGCACCUCAGCAACUCAGGCCAAGACGUGCCCCAAGUGCUGCGCUGCUGCUCUGAGUUUAUUGAGGCCCAUGGUGUGGUGGAUGGAAUCUACAGGCUCUCUGGCGUGUCCUCCAACAUCCAGAGGCUUCGGCAUGAGUUUGAUAGUGAGAGGAUCCCUGAGCUGUCUGGCCCCGCCUUCCUACAAGAUAUCCACAGUGUGUCCUCCCUCUGCAAGCUCUACUUCCGGGAACUGCCCAACCCCUUGCUCACCUACCAGCUCUAUGGGAAGUUCAGUGAGGCUAUGUCAGUGCCUGGGGAGGAAGAACGCCUAGUGCGAGUGCAUGACGUCAUCCAGCAGCUGCCUCCACCACACUACAGGACCCUGGAGUACCUGCUGAGGCACCUGGCCCGCAUGGCAAGACACAGCGCUAACACCAGCAUGCAUGCCCGCAACCUGGCCAUUGUCUGGGCACCCAACCUGCUACGGUCUAUGGAACUGGAGUCGGUGGGGCUGGGUGGGGCAGCCGCCUUCCGGGAGGUCCGGGUGCAGUCGGUGGUGGUGGAGUUCCUGCUUACCCACGUGGAGGUUCUGUUCAGCGAUACGUUCACCUCUGCUGGCCUGGACCCUGCAGCUCCUACGCCCAGGAUCCCCACUUCUUGGCCAGGACACCGUUCUUCCUUCACCCCUUAUAGCUCCUGGGGGCGCGUGGGGCCUUGGGUCCACCCGGGAGGAGGUGGGAGGUCCCCAGACUUGACCCCACCCUGGCCCUGCCCAGAGUCCCUGCCCUGCCCCGGACCCCAGCCCAGUCAGGAUUCUGCUCGUCGGAGGGCCCUCUGGCCCGAGGUAACUGACCAGAGCCACUGCCCUUGCUGGCUGCUGGGAGCUGCCUUCUCAUCAGCUCGUUCUGCCUUACCCAUCUUCCUUACCUGCCUGCUGCCCCUCCCCCCAAUUCCCGCCUGAUCUACACCGGCCCCCUGCCUUGCCAGCCCGGGUGGGCACGCUGCGGGGGCCGGGGCUUGGGCUGUGGCGCUUGGCUUUGCCUGUAGUCUCAAAUGACUCAAAGCUUAUAGCUGUCCCCUUUUCGACCUCUCCAGGUCGCUGCCUCCUUCCCAGACCCAAGUCCCUUGCGGGGAGCAGUCCCUCCACUCGCCUGCUAACACUGGAAGAAGCCCAGGCACGAACUCAGGGCCGUCUUGGAACACCUACAGAGCCCACGACUCCUAAGACGCCAGCCUCACCAGUGGAAAGGAGGAAAAGAGAGAGGGCGGAGAAACAAAGGAAGCCAGGAGGUAGCAGCUGGAAGACAUUCUUUGCUCUGGGGCGGGGCCCCAGCAUACCCCGGAAGAAGCCGCUGCCAUGGCUGGGUGGCAGCCGAGCCCCACCACAGCCUUCAGGCAGCAGACCUGACACUGUCACGCUGAGAUCUGCCAAAAGUGAGGAGUCUCUGUCAUCCCAGGCCAGCGGGGCUGGCCUCCAGAGGCUGCACCGGCUGCGACGACCCCACUCCAGCAGCGAUGCUUUUCCCGUGGGCCCAGCACCUGCUGGCUCUUGCGAGAGCUUGUCCUCUUCUUCUUCCUCUUCUUCCUCUUCCUCCUCCUCCUCCUCCUCAGAGUCUUCAGCAGGUGGCCUGGGGCCACUCUCUGGCUCCCCCUCACACCGCACCUCAGCCUGGCUAGAUGAUGGCGAUGAUCUGGAUUUCAGUCCACCCCGCUGUCUGGAAGGACUUCGGGGACUUGACUUUGAUCCCCUUACCUUUCGCUGCAGCAGCCCCACCCCAGGGGACCCUGCACCUCCUGCCAGCCCAGCACCUCCAGCCUCAGCCUCUGCCUUCCCACCUCGGGCAACCCCACAGGCUCUGUCACCCCAUGGACCCACUAAGCCUGCUUCACCCACUGCCCUGGACAUCUCAGAGCCCCUGGCUGUAUCAGUACCACCUGCUGUCCUGGAACUACUGGGAGCUGGAGGAACGCCUGCCUCAGCCACCCCAACACCGGCUCUCAGCCCUCAUCUCAUCCCCCUGCUGCUGCGUGGAGCUGAGGCCCAGCUAAGUGACACCUGUCAGCAGGAGAUCAGCAGCAAGCUAGCACCAACCCGGGGAGCUCCAGGCCAGCAAAGUCCUGGCGGCAUGGAUUCACCGUUAUUGCCCCCACCCUUGCCUCUGCUGCGCCCUGGUGGGGCUCCGCCCCCUCCCCCCAAGAACCCAGCUCGUCUCAUGGCCCUGGCCUUGGCUGAGCGAGCUCAGCAGGUAGCAGAGCAACAGAGCCAACAAGAGCAGGGGGGCACCCCACCUGCUCCCCACUCCCCCUUUCGACGCUCUCUGUCCCUAGAGGUGGGUGGGGAGCCUGUGGGGACUUCAGGGAGUGGGAUACACCCUCCCUCCUUAGCUCACCCAGGUGCCUGGGCUCCAGGUCCCCCACCUUACCUCCCAAGGCAACAGAGUGAUGGGAGCCUGGUAAGAAGCCAGCGGCCCUUGGGGACCUCAAGGAGAAGUCCCAGAGGGCCUUCCCAGGUCAGUGCCCAUCUCAGGGCAAGCGGGGCUUACAGGGAUGCUCCAGAGAUGGCAGCCCAGUCACCAUGUUCUGUCCCCUCACAGGGUUCUAACCCCAGCUUCUUCUCAACCCCCCGAGAGUGUUUGCCACCUUUCCUUGGCGUCCCCAAACAAGGCUUGUACUCUCUGGGACCCCCAUCCUUCCCACCUAGCUCUCCAGCCCCAGUCUGGAGGAACUCUCUGGGUGCCCCCUCAGCAUUGGACAGGGGAGAGAAUCUGUACUAUGAAAUUGGGGUAGGGGAGGGGACCUCCUACUCAGGCCCCAGCCGGUCCUGGAGUCCGUUUCGCUCCAUGCCUCCCGACAGGCAUAAUGCCUCCUAUGGUAUGCUUGGCCAGUCACCACCGCUCCACAGGUCCCCUGAUUUCCUGCUCAGCUACCCGCCUCCCCCCUCCUGCUUUCCCCCAGAGCACCUUACCCACUCAGUUUCACAGCGCCUUGCCCGGCGCCCUACCCGUCCUGAGCCCCUCUAUGUCAACCUAGCCCUAGGGCCCAGGGGCCCUUCACCUGCCUCUUCUUCCUCUUCCUCUCCUCCUGCCCACCCCAGGAGCCGGUCAGAUCCUGGGCCUCCUGUUCCCCGCCUCCCUCAGAAACAGCGGGCUCCUUGGGGUCCACAUACUCCCCAUCGGGUGCCUGGACCUUGGGGUUCCCCCGAACCUUUUCUGCUCUAUAGGCCAGCUCCACCAUCCUAUGGGAGGGGAGGGGAGGUCCGAGGAUCCUUGUACAGAAAUGGAGGACAUAGAGGAGAGGGGGCUGGUCCCCCUCCUCCUUACCCCACACCCAGCUGGUCCUUACAUUCAGAAGGACAGACCAGAAGUUACUGCUGAGAUAGGACCAGGAAAGGACUCUCCCUGCAUUGGAUCUUGGCCCAAGUCAAUCCCUUGUUUUGUAUUUUCUUGAGCUCACCACCCCACCCCAGGUUUCUAACUUUGUAACUUGCUCUGAUGUGGGUCCCUAACCCCAAAAUCAUUGUGUCCCUAUUAUGGGUUGCAGGAUAUGACCACCCCCCUCCCUCCUGGGACUCUUGCACAAUUGAGGGGGGGCAAGGCUGACAGCCUGUCCCUACUCCCUCUAGGAGUCUCCAGCCUGUACACAGACGGUGGGGAGACAGUUCUUGCCCACCUUCCUCGUGCACCCCACCCACUAAAGCCACCUGACAACAUUAAGGAAUAAAAAUGGCAGAAAUUUG
This is an RNA transcript of Mus musculus (house mouse), 4911 nucleotides long. It is a transcript of the gene named Rho GTPase activating protein 33, with no coding region annotated. NCBI's taxonomy places the organism in Eukaryota, Metazoa, Chordata, Mammalia, Rodentia, Muridae. The record is from RefSeq and is marked validated. The transcript has 22 exons.